This is a long non-coding RNA of Acanthochromis polyacanthus (spiny chromis), 1048 nucleotides long. RefSeq lists it as uncharacterized. The transcript has 2 exons. The record is from RefSeq and is a predicted model, not a curated record. NCBI's taxonomy places the organism in Eukaryota, Metazoa, Chordata, Actinopteri, Pomacentridae.
GAGCGUAGGGAUGUAACGAUUACCGGUUAAAAUGAUAAACCGCAGUAAAAUGUCUGACGGUUAGUACUCCCGUUUCAAAUUUUAAUUACCGUUAAACCGUGUCUGAUUGCCACAAUCCGGAAAAUCUCAGGAAUAGGCCUACUGCUGUUGUGAGAAGUGCAGCGGCAGGCAGCCGAUCGGAUACAUGCGCCCCGCGCGCAUGCGCACUGCACAGUAAACAACUCGUAAAUAUGGCGGAGGACACUGGCAGGGGAGAGAUUUUUUCACCGUCCAAACGUACCAAGUCCGAAGUCUGGGCGUACUUCGGAUUUUAUAAAGACGCGCGAGGGAGACUGGUGGAAGAAAGCAACCCAGUCUGCCGAAAAUGCCACAAGAAAAUAUCGGCAAAGAGUGGAAACACGUCCAACAUUCUGGCUCAUCUACGGGACCCGCAACUGUGCAGCAAGUUAAAGAGAGGGUGUGUAGUGGACAGAACCAGGACAAAUCCUCCAACAGCUUCUACUUCUUCGGUCACAGUGGCACAAACAAUAACCCAGGCGUUUGAAAGGAAGGCUGCUUAUGCACCGACAUUGAAACAUGCCAAAGACCUCACAGCAGCUAUCUCAUAUUUUAUUGCAAAAGACAUGAUGCCAUUUCAAACUGUUGAGAGGCCUGGAUUUUUGAAGCUGAUGAAGGUUGCUGUGCCUCACUAUAAAGUUCCUUCAUGAAAUCAUUUUUACUUUGUUUUAUAUAGUAGUGUUAUUGUAUAUUAUAUUAUAUUUGUAAGACUAGAUCUUUCUGAGCACUGAAUGUGAAGAUAGUUACAAUUUGCACAAUAUAAAGAAUGUAAUUUUAUUUUAAUUUUAUUUAUUUGUUAAUCUUUAUGAGGCAGUGGCACCUUACUUUUUUUGUUGUACUUUGUUAUUCCUAAUGUUGCUUUCAAGCAAACGGACUACCUCCUGGCUCUUUUAAGGUCCCCUCUUUAAUUUUUUAAGCUUUUUAAUAUGUUAUUUAAGGUUUAAGCUCAUAUUUUGAUUGGUUUUUCUAAAAUAAAAACGUUGUUCAUUGA